UACGAACCGUGCGAACGUUAUUCGGAAUCACUGGGCUUAAAGCGCGUGUAGGCGGGCCGCCACGUCCGAGGCUGAAAGCCCCCGGCUCAACCGGGGAAGCGGCGCGGAUACGGGCGGCCUGGAGGGGCGUAGGGGGAGCUGGAACUUCCGGUGGAGCGGUGAAAUGCGUUGAGAUCGGAAGGAACGCCCGCGGCGAAAGCGAGCUCCUGGACGCCAGCUGACGCUGAGACGCGAAAGCCAGGGGAGCGAACGGG
RNAcentral lists this ribosomal RNA (254 nucleotides) under uncultured bacterium. Its description in RNAcentral is "partial 16S ribosomal RNA". It matches the Rfam family "Bacterial small subunit ribosomal RNA", at positions 524 to 776 of the family's 1533-position model. The record is from RNAcentral.